UUAUUUCUAAUCUGAUUUUCUCUAUAGCCUCAUGGAUUUGUUUCCUUAUUUCACUUGCUGUCUUUUUAGAAAUUUCAGGUGUAUUACUCCUAAUUGAAAGGAUUUUGCCCUGAAUUGGAAGCUGCAGAACUGGGAGGCUGGGAGGCAGAACCAAGGGGCUCUACCUUGAGGUCACCUUUCCUGCUCCUAGGCAAUUUAUCUGUGGCACGAAAUGAAUUCCAAUGGACUACUGGUGCAUCAAUAAUGCCCCUUAGGCACCACCUCAAACCUAAGCUAUAUGUAUGCCUCUACACCAUGUGUCGGGCAGAGAGAAUGCCAGACCUUGGAGGUCAUAUGCUCUCUCCACAUUCUUAAAAUAAAGGCCACUUUUAUUUCAUAUUUCUUAUCUUUUUAGCCAUGCUGAAAAUUCUAUCAGAUGGUUCCCUGACCAGGAAUUGACAGAUGAGUGGUUCCCGGGACCCUCCCAGGCUGAGUACCCUGCUGGUUCAUGGACUGGACUGCAUACUGGAUUAAUUCCUCACUUCUCAACAUGCGGGAGCUGCUAAACUUGUCACCAAUGGUUUGCAAACAACACCAGUCUAAUUCAUUUACUUCAGAUCCGUGCCGGGAAGAUGCAAGGGUCAGCGGUGGAAGCCAGAAAGUCUAUGCCAGCUGGAUGAAUGAGUUGUGCUAGAAGGAAUAGGGUUCUAUGCUGGAGCCAAGAAAUCACAUUCACAACAAAGACCAGGGCUAUCCUGAAAGGCACCACAGCCAUCCUCAGCAACAUAGAGGCCCCGAGCUCCUCUGACGACAAGCACAGUAGAGUACUAGCCAGGAAGCCAGCAUGCCAAGUGCAGCCUGGAGACCAAGCAGAACACGUCUUCCCCUCUGGAGCCAGGAAGCAAUGGUCAAUGUGAGGACCAGAGAUUCUCCAGGAGAACCAACGACUCAAACAGCAACAUGUAGGAGAACCCACAAUGCUUCCAUGCAACAAUGCAUUAACACCUCAACCCUCAACAUCUCCCUUCUACUCCACCUAUUUAUCCUGGCAAAUUUCCUCAGGUGGAGCAUCUUUGCUAAUUGCCAUGCUGAUGUAAUCCAGCUGGCAUUAAGUUGACCACCAGUUCUUAAUCCAUAACAAAGACCAACACUGAGGCAGAGGCCAGGCUUGAGCCUUUCCCAGCCCAUCCACCAGCCCUGGCUCAGCCCUCCACCAAGCUAUAAUUAACUAUAUUCAACUGGUAUUAAAUGACACCAUAGCUUAUCUCUCUCCUAAAUAAAAAGGUAAAAUUAAUAAAA
This is a long non-coding RNA of Cavia porcellus (domestic guinea pig), 1278 nucleotides long. RefSeq lists it as uncharacterized. The record is from RefSeq and is a predicted model, not a curated record. The transcript is spliced from 2 exons. NCBI's taxonomy places the organism in Eukaryota, Metazoa, Chordata, Mammalia, Rodentia, Caviidae.